GACGAAGGGGGCUAGCGUUGUUCGGAAUUACUGGGCGUAAAGCGUGCGCAGGCGGUUCUUUAAGUCAGAUGUGAAAUCCCCGGGCUCAACCUGGGAAUUGCAUUUGUGACUGUAGAGCUAGAGUACGGUAGAGGGGGAUGGAAUUCCGCGUGUAGCAGUGAAAUGCGUAGAUAUGCGGAGGAACACCGAUGGCGAAGGCAAUCCCCUGGACCUGUACUGACGCUCAUGCACGAAAGCGUGGGGAGCAAACAGG
Molecule: ribosomal RNA, 253 nt
Filed under: uncultured bacterium
Lineage: Bacteria
Description: partial 16S ribosomal RNA
Rfam family: Bacterial small subunit ribosomal RNA
Source: RNAcentral